This is a transfer RNA of Nanoarchaeum equitans Kin4-M, 84 nucleotides long. It matches the Rfam family "tRNA". Rfam says of the family: Transfer RNA (tRNA) molecules are approximately 80 nucleotides in length. NCBI's taxonomy places the organism in Archaea, Nanobdellati, Nanobdellota, Candidatus Nanoarchaeia, Nanoarchaeales, Nanoarchaeaceae. The record is from Rfam.
GCGGCCGUGCCCGAGCGGUCGAAGGGGUCGGGCUUAGGACCCGAUGGGUUAGUCCCGUCCGGGGUUCGAAUCCCCGCGGCCGCA